UUUUAGUGAUAGCACAGACUGAGGCUGCAGGAGCAGACAGAAGGAUGGAGAGAAUCGAUGUGAGAGGUAGAAAUUAAAAGAGAGCAGGGGAGCAGUGCACAACAGGAUUCCCAUGCAGACUGUGACAGACAUGUACUCAAAGAAGCAGCAGAAGGGGGUAAAGAGAGGGAAAAAAGGAGCAAACUUGCAUCACUGAACACAGCAAGUGGGUAGACACUCCUGACAGAGGAGGAGAGAAGAAACCACCUGUAAUAGAGAUUAUUAGCAGACAAGUAUUUAAAGGCAGACUCCUGACUCUGUUGGUGUCUCUCUCAUUCCCUUUUGUGUCUCUGUGACUGUAUAUCCACAGGCUGUUUCUCCAUCUGUCUCAGCAGGAUGCAGAGGCGUCAUUUUGGUGCCUGGAACUAAGAGAAAUGCUGAACGGAUCCUGGCACACUGCUGGAGAGAGAGGAGACAAAAAAAACUGAGGAACAUUUGCAGGCUUCUGGAAGGAAAAGGGAGGAGAGAGCAGUAUGAGUCAGAGCACAGCAGCUAGAAUACUGGGUAUUCUGCAUGCAAGAGGAGAGGUAGAGGGAGUUGGAGGAACAAUGAGAGAGAUAUAGGGAAAGAAUAGAGAGGACUUGAGCAGAAUUGAGGAGUCAUUAGACAGAGGAAGGACAGGAUGAAGACAGAAGUAGCCACAUUGGCAGGCAGUGAGUGAGAAAUAGGCCACGUGAAUCAGUUCGCUAGAGGGAGAGGAAGGCAAGAAGAGGUUUAGAAAGUGGAAGGUUUGGUAUGACUGAAAAGUGUUGAGGGAAGGUUGAAUGAAGGUUUGCUGCAGGGGGGGACAGUGGACAGGGAAACAGCGAAGGACAAACUUAAUGAAAAACUACUUGAGCAGCUACAGGGGAGAAAGUCCUGAGUGACUGUGUCUUGCCUCAGGGUGGGAACAUGACUGAGGUUUGCAUAUGGGAGGACAAGCUUCAAGAAGGAUAACCAUAGAAAGGAGAGGAAAUGGUGGAAAAACUGAACAGAACAUAAAGGUGAGGAACAAAUCAGGCCAGAUCAAAGAAACAUUUAACAUCCUAGCAGAGCGCUAAAAGGAGAGUAAGAGAGACGCGCACUGCAGACCAGAGAAAAUGUCAUCCAAUGCACAACGACAGGGACAUGGAAACUUUAACUGUGACAGAAACACAGCAAGAAGUUCCUGUUAAAUAUUGAUGCUGACAGGCCACUCUGGAAAGAGCUCACUCCUUGCACCACAGAGAGGGAAACAGAAGGAAGAAACAAAGCAGUUUUUUUUUUUAUUCCGUGGGAUUUCUGAGACAAGCUGUUAAGUGUGUCAAAUGACAGCCGAGCGUGGUCAAGUUCUGGAUGUUUGUGUUUGUCCAGCUGUGCAGUUUCUUGGGAGAGAGUGGAACGACUACAGAAACAACUGGAUCUUUAUGUUGUUUGGGAACAGCAGGGAAGGAGGGAAUUAACAUUUGAGAGAUCACUGAGACCUUCUUUCUGCGAGAACAAGAAUCAGCCCCGGCUGAUGAAUACAGAUUUCUAUUUUGGAUUGACACGCUGUACCUGCUUUGACAGGCACCCUGGGGUACAUCACUGCCAGAAGAGAAAAGCCAAACACUGCUGUAGCAUUCAUAAAUGUUUUUUGUUUUUAUUUUUAUCCUGGACUGAUAGGAGCUGUUCCAACUAUCUCUGGAAAUGGCCUUAUUACAAAGAUUUGGCCAGUUGCUGUAAUGGCUUGAGGAAAUACAAGUGUGGAAAACACGAAGGAUCCUUUAAUUGGAAGCAGGAUGUAUACUUCCUUUUGUCUCCAUGACUAAAUAAGCCAUUAUGGGUGAUUCUCCAACUUAAUGCCAUCAAGGAUUUAAGAUAGAGACUUCCUUCAGUUCGACCUGAAUCACAGAUUCCUCAAAACAUCAGGACAAUAACGCGGAACGCCACCGUCUCCAUUCAGCCGCGGACAGACCAGCUGCAUGCUUAUGUGUGUGUGUGUGGCUGCAAGAACUGUCGAGGAGCUCAACUGCCUGUGUGCGUAUGAUUGUGUGGGUGUGGGUGUAGAGGUGUGUGUGUGUGUGUGUGUGUCACACCAGCUGUGUCUGAGUGAAUUUUCAAAGCAUCGCCGGGAGCUGUGUGAGUGUGUGUUUGUGUGUGUGUGAGUGUCGCCUGGAUUCUCCCCACCAGCGACAGAGCUGGACCUGAACAGCAGUGGUGAGAGGGGGGACAGGGAGGGGGAGGAGGAGAAGAAGAAAGAAACCAGCAGGACAGAGGAGAAGAAAAAACUGACAACAUGCUUGGAUAAAGAAAGGAAAGAAAGGAGUUUUUGGCUGCCCCCCUGGUGCAAUGUGUGGUUGGCCAAGGUCAAAGGUGACAGAGCAACUCAGACUCCAGGAGUAUGAAGAUCACAUUAUUGGAUGCAGUGGACACAUUAUGGUCACAUUAUGUUUCAAUCUACUGAUUCACACAAUUUAUUGUAGGUCACAUGAUACAGUGUCCAGUGGGUCACAUGACAUGCCUGGCAACUGAAUGUCAACAGAACCAACACCAACACCAUGUUUAACCAUACAGGAUGCCCACAGUAUUAAUUUCAGAGGAUGUUACAGCAAUGUAGACAAAUGUGUUAUAGCCCCGCACGCAGCCACCAGUGAUCAAUAACAAGGUAUGUAUCUCUCAGUAUACGACAACCGAUGGUUGUUAAAUCAUGUCAGAGGAUUUAAUGACCAGACAACACACACACUGCUGAUUAACAUCACUAUUGUAUGUAGCUUGUUAACAUUAUGGCCAAUUUCUAUUUGUGAACAUUAACUUUCUACCAACACCAAAAACUAGAAAAGACUCCAUUCCAUGAGAUGUCAAGUCUGAAGCUGAAACUGGAGAUAAUAUAUGGCACCCUGUCCCAUUAAUACACUCAUUAUUGCUUCUGGAUGAUAGGAAAAAAGGCUUUUACUUGUGGAUUUGCUGUGAGGUGAAAUGUGCUUGAUGCCUGUGGUUGUGUGAGAGAUGUAUUUGAUAUCAUAGCUGCUAAUGCAUCACACGCUGCAGGGCAGUGCCGUUACUUCUCUUGUUGUUUUGGAAGAGAUUUACAGCUUCUCAAAACUUCAUAGACAGAUCUAGUUUAUUGAGCGCAUACCUAAAACAAUUUAGUGUUAAAAAUGUUAAUGUUAAAUUACUCUGAUUAUCUUAUCAAAAGUAUGGACAAACCAAUGCUCCCUUCUCUUGCUGUCAUGAAUACAGCACAUAUAUGGAGUCACUCUGUCUUACAGUAAAACAUACUCAUUCUGCCUUUCUCUCUCCUCACACACAAGAAAAUGUAUCCACACACACACACACACAUACACACACACACACACACACACACACACACAUGCACACUAUAGAAACACACAUGCACAAACGUGGAAGAAGCAGGGCUGUGGCUGAGGAGAAGUGACAGUCGCUUCAUGGCCGCCGGCCUCGUAUUCUAGCAGCGCUGGCCAGUUGAGCUUGUAAUGAGGCUGUGGAACGUUCUAGUGUCAUACGGAUCUGGUUCCCACACCAUCACUGCAUCGGCUGUGUGUGUGUGUGUGUGUGUGUGUGUGUGUGUGUGUGUGUGUGUGUGUGUGUGUGUGUGUGUGUGUGUGUUUCUGAGUGUGUGAGACAGAAACAAGAGACUUUGUGGAUGUAUGUAAAGCGUGUGUGUUUUUAUCUGUAUCCUUUAUAACGUGACUUCAAAAUCAGCUUACCAUGUGUUAAGAUAUCUUAUGACAACAAGCAGCUGGUCUUUACAGUUUAGCCAUGGCCCACACACACUCCCUUUAUGUGCUUUUAAAUGUGUGUUUCACUGAUCUCUGCAAAUAUUGCACACAGAGCCUGUAUUGUGGAAAACACAAAAGCUGUAAGAUCAGUGAUUGGGACUUUCUGUGGAGUCAAUAACACUACCAAUCAAUGACUCCAAUCAAUACCUGCUAUUCCUCCCUAGAUCAUUACCUGGUAGACCUGGUGCACCACAGAGAACUCAAUUUGUUUAUAUUGUAUUUGACAUUAUUUCGUAUUUUGUCUUGCUUACCAAUAAUGAAAUACCUAGGAGUGGGAUUAGGGUUAAAGAGGUAAGAGUAUACAAUGAGAUAAAGUAAAAAUCUAUCUGGCAUUCGGAAGUAACAGUUCUCUUGACGUUAGAUUCUCAAUUCAUCAGCACCAGAAAACUCAGGGGUUACCCUCACAUUAUCUAGUCUCAAUGGCAGCUGGUGAUUAUUUCCCUGAUUAAAUAAUCAUACGGCCUAAUAAGGAUGAGACACAUGGAGAUGUGAGGUUACCUUUAUUUGUAUUUGUAUUUUAAGGUAUUUUUUGAAGGAACUGAGGGGAGAGAGACGGGGAAUGAGACACAAUAGAGUAAUAGAGUUCUCCAGCUGGACUCAAAACCUCGAUUAUGAUUGUGGUCAGCAUCUCAAACCCCCAAUGCCCUCAGGACACCCCAGGACAGACUGAUCUGCAAUAAAUGGCAGGCUGGGAAGAUAAGAGCUUGUAGGGAAUCCUGAAGACAUAAAAUAAACAGCAGAGUUUGGUGAAAAAUCCACUCUGAAGAAUGUCUCUGAGGCAGUUAAACUAAUCACACAAGUCAAAGUGAAUUAAUCAUUUGUUAUAAGUGAGCAACAUGAAUUCAUGAUGCAGCCUGCAUUAAUUCAUGCUUUAAAUCAUCAUGAGUCAUGCAUGAAUUAUUCAAGUGUAUUUUGUGAUUUGUACCAUUAUUAUAAAGUGUUACUUUCUCUUUGCAGCUAAAAUCGAACAAUAUAAAGGCGAUGAAUGGGUAGCAUGUAUUGUGUUGGUAGGUAAACAGUGGUUAUAUGUAUAUUUCUGUUUUAAAUAUUAAAGAUAUUUAUUUCGAACUAAAAGAAAAUACCAAACAUAUUCUGUUCUGUGAUCAAGGAAUAAGUGGGAACGUUUGAUUGGUUAUGAUUGGUCGAUGUGUUAAUAAGAGUUGUACGAUGGUAAUUAUGCUCAUGAUAGGCUGCAGACCAGAUGUUUUUGUAAUGAUACAACAACAAUCAAGAUACGUUUCUAAAAUAUAUUAUUUUACAUCAUUUUGAGGCCACUUUAUAGACACCAUGGGUUUUAUACUCUGUAACUGUAUUCACAUCAACACAGUGACAGUGAGUCAAACUAGUGGAGAUGUUCAGAUACUGCAAAUGUUGACAGAUUACAGUUUAUCACGUCACUAAAAGGACGUGAUGGUAAUGAGCAAUAAAAAAUCCAAACAUUCUAUUUUUGAAGGCUCAAUGAUGCCUAACAGCUGCCGGCCAUGUGGCACAGGUGGUGCGCUGGUGACUGCGAGAAAUGAAAUGAAAUUAAUUUCCAUCCAAACGUCUUUCUGAGGGGAAGAAUGGAAUUUGCUGUUAUCAAAACUACCAUCAACCCUGCUAUGAUUGCUUUGAAAGAACUGAGUCAAUCCAGUGUGACUCACUAUUUUCCCAUCUAGACGUAACAACAUAAUUUACCAUGUUUGAAGGAUCUGAUCUUUAUUCCAUGUUUAAUCAUUCCACAAUAAUGCUAAAUUAUGGAUCAAAUACCACCUGCGGACAUGUUGCUGACCUGGGUCGGUGGGCACAUACAUUACUGUAUGAAGACUAUUUUGUGAUAUUAGAGUGAAAUUAGUGGUAGUGUAAAAGUAGAAGUAGUGUGGCUCAUUAAUAGCACUGGAGUCAAUUCAAAUAAAAACUUCUGAGGACAUUCAGUACUGCAUCACUGCAGUAGUGGGUAAACAAGGUUCACACAAGUGGAUAUAUACUGUUUAUACUGUAUAUGCACUCUUGUUAAUGAGAUGAAGUCAGCGAGGGUGCGGUGGCGUGAAGAUGUAGAAAUAUUGUACAGAUGAGAGCAUAUCCAUAAUAAAUGUAAAUAUAAUCCUCUAUUACAAAAUGAAUGAAGAAGGUAUGCCGAUUAGAAGCGCGAAUUACAGUACACAUGAGAUGAAACGUGUCUAUGUGGGACUGUCUCAAGAUAGUCUCACACACACACACACACGCACACACACACACACACACACACACACAUACUCUUAAUUUUCCAAUCUUUCUUCUCUUCCUUUCUUUUUGUCCAUCAUCUAUCUCCAGUAAUCUCAAAAAUAUGGAGGUUUGGAAUCUUACUGAAGCAGUAAUUAAGAUAUGUAUAUGAUGGCUGCAGGCAAAACUAUUUUAUCAAUCCCUCGACAAAUCUGCAACCCCACCAUUUUACCAAUCCCCACAUUAUCUGUAAAGGAUCGUAAUGUCCAAUCUUUGCAAUACUGCUGGGAAAAAAAUCAUUUUCUUCAAGUAAUAAUGCAAUUCAAACCCCUAGUGGUGAGACCUUGCCAGAUAAAAUCAAACCACCUGUUGAAAUCUUUCCAAUAUAACCUACAAUUAUUUUUUUUUAAUGAAGCUUGUUGAGAGCAUUACCCCCACCCUCAGAGGAAGCUCUACCUACAAUACAUGGCAAAAUAGUCCUUCAAGAACAUUAAAACCUCUUAGUUAUGUCUGCACAGAUUAAUGGUUGCUGUUUAUUCCAGGUCUGCUAAUACACCCAUACCAAAGAUAUUAUUUUACUUAAUUGGAGACUAAGGAAAUAUUUUUUCCCUUGUGUUAUUUGCUGUACAGUAAAAUAUGCAGUCUAUUUCCAUUCUAGAUGAGAUUACCUUGGUAGUGAAUGUAACCAGACUCAACCUCCCACAGUAAUGCACUGCAGACUGUGCUGCAGAUGGACCAUCCGUAGGGAAUUUAUAUCACACCCUACAUAAAUUAAUUUGACAGGGAAAUAAGCAGGGCAGCUAUCUGCACCAAUUAUGAUGAAUAUUAUGCAUGAGUUUCAUGGGGCAGACUGCCUUGCAUUGCUCAUUCAGCGGGGAAGCCUUUGGUGAAUUCCCCAGUGCUACUCUGUAUUGUGCUGCACAGCACAGUGUCCUCACUGUUUCUCGUUCCGAAUCAAGUUUAGUAUAAUAUUUGGCAUGUGCAGCUUUUGCAGUGAGCAGCUUCCAAUCAUGAUUACGUUAUGACUUUAAUUACACGUUUAAUCCCUUAUACUGCAGGGGGAACUUUUUAACUAAUCCCUCAGAUUAAAAUAGACAAACAUGAUUUAUUUCAAAAACAAUGCCACUAAUUGCUUGCACCUGUCACAGUACUCAAUUCAUGGGGGGAAAAAACCUUUACGAUUUAAUAUUGAAUUAUAUUUUAUUGUUUUAUGUGGAUUUUUAUCAUUAACAUCAUAAAUUAUUGCAAGACAAUCUCCUCUGAUUUCUUCUGCUGUGGUGGUUUGAAUGGUUGUAAUUCAAUAGAUGUAUUCAAAUAUUAAUUGGAAUGACUAAAUGCUUGAGCUGCUGCGGUUCAUUAAGAUUGUGUGUUCUUGAAGGGGGGGAAAGAACGAGUGGAAGAGAGAGAGUGUGUGCUUGGAAUGUGUUGGAAGGCUGCAGUUUUACAAUACGGCAUAAUACUGUGUAUUUGCAAAUAUGCAGCAUGUUUAUGUUCAGAAUGUGUGAUAAAUCAUGCUUGUCCUUUGUUUGUAGAAAGCGGCUGUGAGCCAAGCACUGACUCACUCUCCCUCUUUGUUUGGAUACACAUUCACACAUUCACAGCGUACACAUAAACUUCGACAAACAUAUUUAAAUCUAAAUGCUGUGAAUGCCUGGAGGAAGUCGCACAAUUCGACACACAUGCAGACACUGAACAUUAAAAAGAAAAAAACUAUCCUCUCGGGUCACUGUCUAAUUUCAAUCAGAAGUUCAGGGAAGAGAUAAGAAAGAGGAUGGGGAGACAUUGUCUCAUGCAAACUUUUACAGUUCUUAAUGCUGUAUUAAACACUGACUGUUAUAGUCAGUCCCAUUUUUUUUUGCCAUUUUCCCAUUUCUUUCCCGCUCUUAUCUUUGUGCUUUAUGGCCCUGAGUUUUGAGGUGUGCCAUGCAUUCUCUCUAAUUGGGUUGGAAAUAAUCACAUUACACUGUUGAAUGGCUAAGCUGCAUCAAAAGAUAAUGCUAUGUCCCUGUCCUUACUCUACACACACACACACACACACACACACACACAUACCCCUGGGCUGCCAGAACAGCUGCUGGAUGUGGAAAUGUUUACCCAGCGCACCAACAAAAUGAAAAGACGGAACAACAAGUGGAGAGCAGAGUAAAGCAAACAUAAAAGAAGAGGAAACAGGAGGAGAGAAAGUUCCUUUCUUUACUACUUUACUAACUUUUUUUGUUUACAUCUACAGUAUGUGCGCAGCAAAGUUAUCUAGGGGAGUGGUGUCAUCAAGUUGUGAUCAGGGAGAGGCUGAGAUUGUCUACAACAAUACAUCAUAAAACAACGCUUUUAUAACUGUCUGUAUUGUUUUGUGUAUUAUCAGAAUUAGCUGACGUAACUGACCAUUGGACCAGUUCAGUGUAGUGGAAAUCUCACAUCCUGUGUAGAAGCCCAGGAGCCAUUCUCAUUUUACUGCACACACAGAGAUAUAAAUACACACACGCUCGCUGUCCUCGUCCUAACCUAUCUUUCUCUCUGUGCUUUGAAACUGUCUCAAAGGACUGCAGAUAAUUCCCUCAUCAGUAUCAGACCUCAUUAAUUUUUAACGGACACCAUCGAUCUCACAUCAACGCUAAUGCCUAAUGACAGAGGAGGAAACAAAAAAGAUGAACAGGAAGAGAGGGGACUCAGGACUACAAAGGAAUCCUAACACCAGUUUGGAUUGAUGUCUGUAUGGCGUCGCGCCCUGUGGUGGUGGGGUUCUGUGAUGGUAACCAUGGUCCCCGGCGGCCGCUAUGUCUGCAGCGCUCACGCCAGAGAGGAAGACUCUGGGAACGACCGCGAGGAGCGAAUUUUAGCCGUGCUGGGCAUCAUCGGAACCAUCCUCAAUCUUUUAGUGGUCAUAUUUGUCUACAUUUACACCUCCGUCACUUGAGGUUUUCUGCAAGACUUCAGCGAGAGACAUUGGCGCUGUCCCCAACUUUUCUCCACGCUGCCACCCUGCUCUUUAAGUAUUUAUAUACUGAGAAGAUUAUUCAGAGUAAGCAGGAAGAUGUGAGGAUCAUUGGCAGCGAGUUCAGCUGGAUAGUAGCCAUAUUUGCCUACACCUGCAGCACUUCUUAUCCCCAAACACAGCUUGGAUCUGUUAGCUAAAGACUGCUGCCAGCUACAGCUACUUUUAAACUGUAUCUUCCCAUUUUUCAAGACAAUUUCACACAUCCACAUGUCAAAUGACUGCUGACAGUGACUGUGACAGUCUGAUAAUGACAUCUGUGUGUUCAUAUUGAUCCUGCAUUUCUGUGACUGCUUAGACAGCGAGAGUUGAGUGUCUUUGAUCUGAUGAUGGCCAUAUUUGACUGUGCUGCAUCUUCCACUUUGUCACAUGACACGUAACAGUGUUCGGUUUCCGUCUUUCCGCAAUCAAGCUCCUCUGUGGGGUUUAAGGUUUUAUCACUGCCAGUUAAAAUCUGCCAAAAUGGUUUAACAAACCAGGAGGAACACUCCUGAGCACCUUUAAACCUACUUGAAUAGAACAUUGAGACAUAAAUACAGAUAAUCAUUUCCGUAGUUAGUAGAGUCACUGAAAAAGUUUUACAUGGACCUAACGUGUCCACACCUGAGCACACCGGAGGAGAGGUUCCUGGCUGUGCUAGGAGUCAUUGGUAUUGUGCUCAACCUCCUGCUGCUUGUCUUCGUCUAUAUAUACACCUCCACCUGAUAUAUGUGCCUGAACACAGUAUCAGUUAUGAGAUAACCUAACCUAACAGCACCUGUAGCUAACAGCCAGGUGUGUCAGUGAAUGCAUCGUGUUCUUCAGCCACACCUGUACAUACUAAACAAAGCAUACCCUGGUUCAUAGCUGAUGUGAGAUGAUAUUCUUGAUGAGUUUCUGUGCCUAAUGAUCUUAAAAUAAAGCAAACAUGGUGAACAGAAGGCGAUGAGAGAAUUUAAAGGCAAAAGCAGCAAUACCCAGAGAUUAGGAAAAAGAGAUUUGUUCACAGACUUAUUUAUAAUAGAAAUACAUUUUACAAAAUAUAUCUUUUUUUGUAUUGAUUUGUGUCCUACAGUUAGUGUUUUUGUAGAUACAGUGCUCUUUCACAUAUAUGCAUGAUGAGGUGUUUACUUGUAUUACUAUAAUCUUUAUCACGCUUAGACCAAAAUACCUGGCGUAAAGGCUGCCAUUUUUACAGUAAUUCUGUUUCUUCUAUAUGUUUAUUGAUGUUGAAAACACCCAGACAUGGAACUAGAUGGUAACGAUGUCUCAGUCUGUGCAGGAGCUCUGCACAUCAUCGAAGAUCCCUCUGUGGAAGGUCAGUACCACAGAAUAAUGGUAUAUUUUCUGGUGUCAUGUGUCUGUGAUGGGAUCAGUAAGCCAGGCAUGGAGCAGCAUCGGAGAGGGCAAAGUGUUAGUAUGAGACAGUGUCACAUAAAUCAAAACAGUGUUCAACUGCAGCGCAGCACAAAGGAACGUAACAAGAGAAUCAGGUUGAAUCAGUGUGGACUGUCAGAAAAAAGAGGACAUAAAACCUCUGCACAAGACCUCACCAUCUGUCUCAAACUUUGUGAAGACACAAAAAACUCCUUGGGAUUGGGCUGCAGCAUUUCAGCUGGAGCUGCAUGUCACUAUGGAUAUGAUUUUAGGUUGACGCACUGUGCCUCUAAUGGAGAAGAAAACCUAAAUGCAGUUGACAUGCAAGCAGAGAGGACUGGCCUGAAUCUGCACUUCAUCCUCGUCAUUCUCUUCUCCACCAACAAGUUAACGCCAGAGAAGACAUAGUACUGAGAGGACGCACAUAAGUCUCUGCUGUCCUAGCACAAUACUUUUAUACACACACACACACACACACACACACACACACACACACACACACACACACACACACGCCUGUGAGCCAGAACAGACUUCAUUUCAUACACCAUCAGUCAGAUGUUUAAGGAAAGACACAACGAGGAGAAUCCCAAAAACUCUGGCUGCUCACUGCCCUACUUAUACUUUACAUGUUGGCUUGUGAGAGUAAGUGUCAAGAUUUUGAUAAUCAUUGCAUAAAAGGUCCCUUGUUACAUUGUGUAUGUAUGCUCAUAGGUUUUGGUAUCAGUUUAUCAUUGAGUGUCUGGGUAGGUGACAAAUCUAAAAGUCACUGCAUUGAAAAAUGUUUGGGUUGAAACUCAACGUGUAUGGUUUUGGUGGCCACAGUCUAUUUUUAUAAAGGGUAGAAGGUUCAGAUAAGUAUUUCUAUGGUCAUGUCUAGAAUGAAUGCUAGAUGAACAAUAAUUAGCUUUUACUAAGAAUAAUUAGAAUAUCACACACAUUUGUACUUCUUUACUGGAGGACCCUUAUUAAGUACUAGCAAUAGCCCCUCCCUCCCUCACUUUAAACACAAUGUGCUUAAUCAUUUAAACAAUUUACGUAACCUGAACCUGAAUUCUGGAUCUUAAAGGAAAGCCGAGGCUCAUCACACCUUUAUUUUAUUUAUUUUCUAAGCUCAGGGCAUCAAUUCUAUUGAUUAUGUUAACAUUGUACUCACCAAUGUAGUUGCUGAGAUCUGGGGAUGCUGAGGCAUUGCUAAAAAUAUCUCCAACACAGCAAGAUACACACAAGGUUACUCAAGUGGUAGCUAAUCUGGCAAAAACACUGUCUUAUCUACAACCCGUGUGAUCAUCUGACCGCUGCUACUUCCUGCUCCCUUGGAAUAGCAUUGCCAUGUUUUGAGAUCUUAGCAAUGAGUGGGAACCUGCCAAAAUAUCCCAAAAGCCUUCUCACUCUCAAAACCCAAUUUGGUCCUCACAAAGAUAACAAAGAAAUACACACACACACACACACACACACACACACACACACACACACACACACACACACACACACACACACACACACACACACACAGUAGCUACUUGCAUGUCUCUUCAUGAUUUUAAUUUUACACUAUCUUUCAACACACAUCACCGUCAGCAUACUGAGAUCAAUGUGACUUGCACAUUUACUUCCUGUCACAUCUAAUAACAGUAGAGUGGAGUUUGUUGAGCUAAAUCCAUUUUAAGUGUGCACCAAAGCACAGUGUGAGCUACCUUUGGUUUGCAAGACAUCUGCUGUAAGACUGUGACAGCUGUGCAGAAGAACAUUUGAAUAUACUUUGAAAGUACUGGAGAUAUUACUGCUUCACUUAAUGUUGGCAAACAAACAAACAACUGAAUAAGCUUUCAGCUUUAAGUUUAGCUCAGGUUUACUUACAUACUGGCAAAGGUUUAAAGGUUUUAUGGUACUGCUUUCUAAUAAAGCCCUCUUUUUAAAGGGUUUAUAAGCUGUUACUAAUGGCUUUUCUAAUGGUUUAUGAAUACUUACUAAUGUUUUACAGAUCAGUUAAUGAAGUAAUUCAUAAGAACAAGUUUUAGGUUGCCCUUUGGCUGGUGUUUAUCUAUUAACUAAUGUUUUAAUUGGUUGGUUAAUGGUUAACAGAUCCUUUACUAUCAUUUGCUAAUGCUCUAUGGCUUAUUAGAAAAUUAGAAAUUAGUGUUUGUUAAGUCAUUUCCAACAUCUAUAACCGUAUUAUUACUAAAUAGAGAGAAUAAACAGCUAUGGUUCCUAACGAAGGGUUCUAAUUGAUCUAUAAAGCAUUAGCAAAUCAUUUAUUAACCAUUGUCUAAAGGGUGCCUUACUCGACAGUGGUACCAGGGCUAAAAAUAUUUAAAAAUGUUAAUAUAUAUUUAAAACUAUCUAACAGUUGUUAGGCAGUUAUGACUAAGUCUAGGGCUGGGAUACAUUAUAUGUUAUUUUUUAUUCUGCAUGCAGUUCAAGGUUCAGUGCAGACCAGUUUUAACAUGACUCACUGCCAAGCUGACCGGUGAGAGGUGAGAGCCUGGAGGGCGAGUCCUGGCCAUCUGCUGUCCGAACCGACAUUCAACCACAUCCUCUUAUACACACACACACACACACACACACUUAUACACACACUCAAAUGUUUCAAAUAACAGCUUUUGAGAUUGUUUAUGAUUGAUUUGAUGCCUGUUUAUGGUAUUUUGUUUCACCAUUUUACAAGAUAAAUAGGUUAACAUGCCAUUGAAUGCCAGAGGGAAAACAGGUGCAUCAGAGUACACCUCGAACCCCUAACCACUGCCCCAGGCAUGGGUUGUUAACACAAAACACUGAAAACAGGGAAACUAUGUUCAAAGACAGGCAAAUGCUCAUCCUGAGUUGGAGCCAGCCAGCAACCGUGUUAUGUUCAGCCAAAGCAAAGAUGAAUUCUCAUGUUUUUUCAUGAUGUGUGCCAUGCGCUGAAUUGAUUUUGAGCGUGAGAAGACACACGCGGCACAGACUAUCUGUGUGGGACUAAAGAAAAUAAUGUGGACAAAAGGAUCCCUGAGAUAUUUUAAUGUUAUUUCAGAGCAACACAGCUGAAGAAUAUUGAGUUACAGAUUUAGGCAAAAAUGAGUCUAAUUUGCAUGGGAAGGCUGAAUUGUUGCUGCACAGUUUUACACAAAGUUUGGCAAAGCAGAUCGCUGUUUUACAGUAUUUUCUGAUUUCUUUUUCAUUUCACCUUACUUUUAGCUGCAAAUGAUUUUCUAAACAGGCAGGACCAAUGAUCCAGGUAACUGCCAGGCCUGAGAAAUGAUCUUUUAACCAAAGUUUUGAGUCACAUGCUGAUUUAUAGCUGCUCCAGUACUAAUCAAGUAAAUUGUAUUUGUAUUUGAAAUGGGAGGAUGACUGCCCCACCAAUAAUGUUUGAUAAAGCUAUUUUAGCAAAGGAAAGACAAUGUCCUCUAGAACAUGAACCUAUGUCCAUUUCUGAUGAAGCUGAUGAAGAAGCAGUUUGUUACGUUCGAAUAAAUGCUGUGAGAUCUUUCAUGUGAUGUUUAUAAUGUAUAGUUAUAGUAAUGCCAAUAAAAUGAAAAAACACCACUUUCAAAGAA
Long non-coding RNA from Dicentrarchus labrax (European seabass), 13844 nucleotides. RefSeq lists it as uncharacterized. The record is from RefSeq and is a predicted model, not a curated record. The transcript is spliced from 4 exons. NCBI's taxonomy places the organism in Eukaryota, Metazoa, Chordata, Actinopteri, Moronidae.